RNAcentral lists this ribosomal RNA (301 nucleotides) under uncultured bacterium. RNAcentral describes it as "partial 16S ribosomal RNA". It matches the Rfam family "Bacterial small subunit ribosomal RNA", at positions 509 to 807 of the family's 1533-position model. The record is from RNAcentral.
CAGUAGCCGCGGUAAUGCGAAGGGUGCAAGCGUUACUCGGAAUUACUGGGCGUAAAGCGUGCGUAGGUGGUGGUUUAAGUCCGUUGUGAAAGCCCUGGGCUCAACCUGGGAAUUGCAGUGGAUACUGGGUCACUAGAGUGUGGUAGAGGAUAGUGGAAUUUCCGGUGUAGCAGUGAAAUGCGUAGAGAUCGGAAGGAACAUCUGUGGCGAAGGCGACUAUCUGGGCCAACACUGACACUGAGGCACGAAAGCGUGGGGAGCAAACAGGAUUAGAGACCCGAGUAGUCCCUGUCUCUUAUAC